This 253-nucleotide ribosomal RNA is filed under the name uncultured bacterium. Its description in RNAcentral is "partial 16S ribosomal RNA". It matches the Rfam family "Bacterial small subunit ribosomal RNA", at positions 524 to 776 of the family's 1533-position model. The record is from RNAcentral.
UACGGGGGGGGCAAGCGUUGUUCGGAAUUACUGGGCGUAAAGGGCUCGUAGGCGGCCAACUAAGUCGGACGUGAAAUCCCUCGGCUUAACCGGGGAACUGCGUCCGAUACUGGAUGGCUUGAGUAUGGAAGAGGGUCGUGGAAUUCCAGGUGUAGUGGUGAAAUACGUAGAUAUCUGGAGGAACACCGGUGGCGAAGGCGGCGACCUGGUCCUAUACUGACACUCAUACACGAAAGCGUGGGGAUCAAACAGG